RNAcentral lists this unclassified non-coding RNA (299 nucleotides) under plant metagenome. Its description in RNAcentral is "partial contains 5.8S ribosomal RNA, internal transcribed spacer 2, and large subunit ribosomal RNA". The stretch from base 1 to 105 matches the Rfam family "5.8S ribosomal RNA", at positions 50 to 154 of the family's 154-position model. The record is from RNAcentral.
GAAAUGCGAUAAGUAAUGUGAAUUGCAGAAUUCAGUGACUCAUCGAAUCUUUGAACGCACAUUGCGCCCCCUGGUAUUCCGGGGGGCAUGCCUGUUCGAGCGUCAUUUCACCACUCAAGCCUCGCUUGGUAUUGGGCGACGCGGUCCGCCGCGCGCCUCAAAUCGACCGGCUGGGUCUUUCGUCCCCUCAGCGUUGUGGAAACUAUUCGCUAAAGGGUGCCGCGGGAGGCCACGCCGUAAAACAACCCCAUUUCUAAGGUUGACCUCGGAUCAGGUAGGGAUACCCGCUGAACUUAAGC